Molecule: unclassified non-coding RNA, 301 nt
Filed under: fungal sp.
Lineage: Eukaryota; Fungi
Description: partial internal transcribed spacer region
Rfam family: Eukaryotic small subunit ribosomal RNA (bases 1-46)
Source: RNAcentral
AAGUCGUAACAAGGUUUCCGUAGGUGAACCUGCGGAAGGAUCAUUAGCAAGAUUGCCUCCUCUCCUCAUCAUCAUUGCCUUCUUUGGAGGGUGAAUGGUGAUUGAGGGUGAGGAAGAAAGGCAAGUGCCAUCCUUGUGUUAUGUUUUCAUGUGUAUGUGUUUUGCGUGAAUUCGUUCGCGCAUUCGCAUCAUUUUAUACAUAUUCCAACACCUUUAAUUCAUUCUGAACAAACCUUGUCAUUGCUCGCAAGAGCAUGCACAAACCAACCGAAAACUGCCAGCAAUGGAUCACUCGGUUCUC